Polistes canadensis is the source of this 765-nucleotide long non-coding RNA. RefSeq lists it as uncharacterized. NCBI's taxonomy places the organism in Eukaryota, Metazoa, Arthropoda, Insecta, Hymenoptera, Vespidae. The record is from RefSeq and is a predicted model, not a curated record. The transcript is spliced from 2 exons.
GUAUCAUAUGUUCAAGUAUAUAUAUAUUUAUGUAUAUAUAUUUGAUUUAGAAUUCGCAAGAAAAAUUAAACGAAUUCUUGAUAGUUGAUUUCUAAGUCGCAUAGAAUAUACAAAUUGGACUAAGGCAGUUGUUAACCGGCAACAGUUGACUACACGUGCAAUGACUUUUAUCAUAGUUUAGGUCCUACCGCCGAUAGUAACAAGAUAAUUUUGUCUUUGCAAUUGCGCCAAUUGUUACUGCAGUUACUAUUGAUAUAUUAACAAGAUAAUUCAUUUCACUAUCUGAGCAUUUAUCUAAUGCAUGCAAAUUGCGGAGUGAAGUGCUUAGAAUUAAAGCUCCAUAUCUUCGUUAUUGGAGAAAGAUAACUUUCCUUCCUAUCGAAAUAUUAUCUCAGAUCGUAAAGAUUGCAUAUAGAAUAAUAUAUACAUGGUGAAAUUGUAAUAAUCUAUGUGAAUAAAAUCAAAUGUUUGUUUCCUGUUAACGACGCGAGUUGUUUCAAAAAAAGAAAUGUGAUUGUGGUAUAGUAAAUAGACAAUUAUUUUAUUUUUAGCAUCGUAAAUUAUAUAAGAACAAAUAUAGCAAGUUAAACAGUCCUUCCGUUUAUAAGGUGGCUUACCUAUGAUAUUGAAUAAUGGAGUGCAGACGUACUGGCAGAAAUAGGUCGAUCUAAUCCCACCGAUCUCUUGCAAAGAUCCUUUCUAAUGUCCUCCCCCGCUGUUUGAAGUUACGCAACGAACGUCUUCGAAGAAGAAGCAGAAGAAGAA